Molecule: microRNA, 21 nt
Filed under: Arabidopsis thaliana (thale cress)
Lineage: Eukaryota; Viridiplantae; Streptophyta; Magnoliopsida; Brassicales; Brassicaceae
Description: ath-miR5029
Source: miRBase by way of RNAcentral
AAUGAGAGAGAACACUGCAAA